RNAcentral lists this ribosomal RNA (387 nucleotides) under Haptophyta sp. RNAcentral's name for it is "partial small subunit ribosomal RNA". It matches the Rfam family "Eukaryotic small subunit ribosomal RNA", at positions 582 to 975 of the family's 1831-position model. The record is from RNAcentral. Lineage: Eukaryota; Haptophyta.
AUUCCAGCUCCAAUAGCGUAUAUUAAUGUUGUUGCAGUUAAAAAGCUCGUAGUCGGAUUUCAAUGCGGGUUGACCGGUCUGCCGAUUGGUAUGCACUGGCCGAGCCGUAUUUCCUCCCGGAGACCUCGUCUACUCUUAACUGAGGCGGACGGGGGAAACGGGAUUUUUACUUUGAGGAAAUCAGAGUGUUCAAAGCAGGCUUUUGUAUGUAUGUGUUAGCAUGGGAUAAUAAAAUAGGACUUGGGUGCUAUUUUGUUGGUUUCGAACACCUAAGUAAUGAUUAAUAGGGAUAGUCAGGGGCACUCGUAUUCCACCGAGAGAGGUGAAAUUCUUAGACCAGUGGAAGACGAACUUCUGCGAAAGCAUUUGCCAGGGAUGUUUUCAUCA